RNAcentral lists this ribosomal RNA (253 nucleotides) under uncultured bacterium. Its description in RNAcentral is "partial 16S ribosomal RNA". It matches the Rfam family "Bacterial small subunit ribosomal RNA", at positions 524 to 776 of the family's 1533-position model. The record is from RNAcentral.
UACGUAGGGGGCAAGCGUUGUCCGGAAUCAUUGGGCGUAAAGAGCGCGUAGGCGGCCCUGUAAGUCCGCUGUGAAAGUCAAGGGCUCAACCCUUGGAUGCCGGUGGAUACUGCAGGGCUAGAGUCCGGAAGAGGCGAGUGGAAUUCCUGGUGUAGCGGUGAAAUGCGUAGAUAUCUGGAGGAACACCGGUGGCGAAGGCGGCAUCCUGGACCGGCAUUGACGCUGAGGCGCGAAAGCUAGGGGAGCAAACGGG